GGCGGCGUAGCCAAGUGGGAAGGCAGAGGUCUGCAAAACCUCUAUUCAGCGGUCCGAAUCCGCUCGCCGCCUCCA
Molecule: transfer RNA, 75 nt
Filed under: Candidatus Omnitrophota bacterium
Lineage: Bacteria; Pseudomonadati; Candidatus Omnitrophota
Description: tRNA-Cys
Rfam family: tRNA
About the family: Transfer RNA (tRNA) molecules are approximately 80 nucleotides in length. Their secondary structure includes four short double-helical elements and three loops (D, anti-codon, and T loops).
Source: RNAcentral